RNAcentral lists this transfer RNA (359 nucleotides) under Microcystis sp. S-14. The stretch from base 135 to 208 matches the Rfam family "tRNA". The record is from RNAcentral. Lineage: Bacteria; Bacillati; Cyanobacteriota; Cyanophyceae; Chroococcales; Microcystaceae.
AAGGGAGACCUAAUUCAGGUAGGAGACGAAAAAAAAGUAGUCCCUACCAGGAAUCAAUCCCAAAAGGUCGGAGCGAGGCGAAAUUGGCUUUCAAACUAGGUUCUGGGUUCAAACAAGACCUGAAUCAGGAACAAGGGCUAUUAGCUCAGGUGGUUAGAGCGCACCCCUGAUAAGGGUGAGGUCCCUGGUUCGAGUCCAGGAUGGCCCACCUGCACAGGUGGCAAAAACAAGAGAAGYGAGGAAUCAGCACCUUAUCUUACUGACAUAGUAAGAGAGAAUGCUGGCUCUGAGUAAAGAGUCCAGAGGAACCUUGAAAACUGCAUAGAGCUAGGUGAAAAAGCCAAAAAAGAAGACCGCAA